This 483-nucleotide ribosomal RNA is filed under the name uncultured bacterium. RNAcentral describes it as "partial 16S ribosomal RNA". It matches the Rfam family "Bacterial small subunit ribosomal RNA", at positions 28 to 523 of the family's 1533-position model. The record is from RNAcentral.
GACGAACGCUGGCGGCGUGCUUAACACAUGCAAGUCGAACGAUGAAGCCGGAGCUUGCUCCGUUGGAUUAGUGGCGAACGGGUGAGUAACACGUGAGCAAUCAGCCCUUGACUCUGGGAUAACUGCGGGAAACUGUAGCUAAUACCGGAUACGACACCUUGGGGCAUCCCAGGGGGUGGAAAGAAUUUCGGUCAAGGAUGAGCUCGCGGCCUAUCAGCUAGUUGGUGAGGUAAUGGCUCACCAAGGCGACGACGGGUAGCCGGCCUGAGAGGGUGACCGGCCACACUGGAACUGAGACACGGUCCAGACUCCUACGGGAGGCAGCAGUGGGGAAUAUUGCACAAUGGGCGAAAGCCUGAUGCAGCAACGCCGCGUGAGGGAUGACGGCCUUCGGGUUGUAAACCUCUUUUAGUAGGGAAGAAGCGAAAGUGACGGUACCUGCAGAAAAAGCACCGGCUAACUACGUGCCAGCCGCCGCAGUAA